This 1291-nucleotide long non-coding RNA is filed under the name Capra hircus (goat). Its description in RNAcentral is "lncRNA (ENSCHIG00010031378.1)". Lineage: Eukaryota; Metazoa; Chordata; Mammalia; Artiodactyla; Bovidae. The record is from RNAcentral.
AUGCAGGCUGCUCCUGUGGCCUCCGAGACAGCGCCCCCCGCCCCAACGCUGUCGCAUUUGGGCUGGGAGCCUGUCGCGGGCCGGGGGCAGAGAUGUGGUGAGCAGCCAGCUGGCCUUGGCUGGGAAACUGAAAUAUUAAUCACUCCGCAAACUGCCAGCCUGUUCCCAGGUGCGUUCCUUGACAGUGCUUGUUCCCAUAAGGCCCGAGCACUCCAGGCUGGCUGGAGCCCACUGCAGGUGCACCAGGCAGGCGGGGAGCGUGUGCGCAUGUCUGCCCCCACUCAGCAUCUCCAGGGAGGUGCUCACCUCCUAAGCAUGACGCUACCCACUGUGAGCCAUCCAGAGCGAGUAAGAGAAAAUGGUUAAUAAAACGCAUGCCAGGAAAAAGAAAGCAAAUUAGGGGCUGCUGUCUGGGCUGGGAGGGCUUCUCUGACUUCAGGAAAAAUAGAACAGAUGGUGAUUUUUUCUCAGCCCGAAGGACGUCAUACCCAGAGCACCACCAGCUUUCCUGUUCUAGCAAGUGUCUCCUGGACACCUUUUUAAUAGUCCGAUUCUCAUGCUGACAAGCCACCAGUGCCACUCUGUAGAUAGAUUCUCCAUUUCUUUGGCAGAACUGACUUUAAAAUGCUUAUGUGCCCUGAUGCCGGUGGGGUGGGAGUACGAUUGAUAUCAUUUUUCUACCAUAAGCACAGNNNNNNNNNNNNNNNNNNNNNNNNNNNNNNNNNNNNNNNNNNNNNNNNNNNNNNNNNAGGAGGUAUAGUCGCUACAAGCCAGCAGUCAGAGCCGAGGCCUGGCCCUUCCCAACCAGGUGAAAGGUUUGAUGAACAAAUGGGCAGUGAUCUUUUUUCUCCUGAACCAGGGAAGGGGCAAGGGAAGACACAAGGAGGCCAAGAACAGAGAAUUUUGUCAGUUAAGACUCUUUCUCAAACUUGCAAGCGGAAAAGGUUUUUCUGAAGAGUUCCAAGCAUGUUUUUGCAAGACAUUAAAAAAGAAGAAAGGUUAAGUCUAAAAAUUGUAGAUUGGCCCAAUAUUCCCUGAACUCCAUGCAUUGCUUGUGGUAUUUUUGAAAAAAGAAAGGAAUUUUGCUUUGAAAAUGUCAUACUCCAAAGAAGUUUUUGUAAGUUAUUUGUAGGGGAGUUGACUCCUAUUUGGUUGAGUGGAUGAUCUGAGUCUUCCCUUAAAGAUGUUUCAAACUGUUCCAAUCUCUCUCCCUGGUUUUUUUUUUUCGUCCAAACAAUAGAAGUUCAGUUCAGUUCAGUCACUCAGUCUUGUCCGACUCUUUGCAACCCCA